RNAcentral lists this ribosomal RNA (660 nucleotides) under uncultured delta proteobacterium. Its description in RNAcentral is "bacterial SSU rRNA". It matches the Rfam family "Bacterial small subunit ribosomal RNA", at positions 8 to 646 of the family's 1533-position model. The record is from RNAcentral. Lineage: Bacteria; Deltaproteobacteria.
AGAGUUUGAUCAUGGCUCAGAUUGAACGCUGGUGGCGUGCUUAACACAUGCAAGUCGAGCGAGAAAGUUCUCUUCGGAGAACGAGUAGAGCGGCGCACGGGUGAGUAACGCGUGGAUGAUCUACCUUCGGGAACGGGAUAACGGAUGGAAACGCCCGCUAAUACCGUAUGGUCUUCAUAUUUGGCUUUAUGAGGUAAAGGUGGCCUCUACAUGUAAGCUACCGCCUGGAGAUGAGUCCGCGUCUCAUUAGCUUGUUGGUGGGGUAACGGCCUACCAAGGCGACGAUGAGUAGCCGGCCUGAGAGGGUGGCCGGCCACACUGGAACUGGAACACGGUCCAGACUCCUACGGGAGGCAGCAGUGGGGAAUAUUGCGCAAUGGGGGAAACCCUGACGCAGCGACGCCACGUGAGGGAUGAAGGCUUUCGGGUCGUAAACCUCUGUCAGGAGGGAAGAACCGCUUUGAGUCGAAUAGGCUCAGGGCCUGACGGUACCUCCAGAGGAAGCACCGGCUAACUCCGUGCCAGCAGCCGCGGUAACACGGAGGGUGCGAGCGUUAAUCGGAAUCACUGGGCGUAAAGCGUACGUAGGCGGCUUUGCAAGUCAGGGGUGAAAUCCCUCGGCUCAACCGAGGAACUGCCUUUGAAACUGCAUGGCUUGAG